GACGAACGCUGGCGGCGUGCCUAAUACAUGCAAGUCGAGCGGACGGAUGGGAGCUUGCUCCCAGACCGUCAGCGGCGGACGGGUGAGUAACACGUGGGCAACCUGCCUGUAAGACUGGGAUAACUCCGGGAAACCGGGGCUAAUACCGGAUAACUCUUUCCCUCACAUGAGGGAAAGCUGAAAGAUGGCAUCUCGCUAUCACUUACAGAUGGGCCCGCGGCGCAUUAGCUAGUUGGUGAGGUAACGGCUCACCAAGGCGACGAUGCGUAGCCGACCUGAGAGGGUGAUCGGCCACACUGGGACUGAGACACGGCCCAGACUCCUACGGGAGGCAGCAGUAGGGAAUCUUCCGCAAUGGACGAAAGUCUGACGGAGCAGCGCCGCGUGAGUGAUGAAGGUUUUCGGAUCGUAAAACUCUGUUGUCAGGGAAGAACAAGUACCGGAGUAACUGCCGGUACCUUGACGGUACCUGACCAGAAAGCCACGGCUAACUACGUG
Molecule: ribosomal RNA, 498 nt
Filed under: uncultured bacterium
Lineage: Bacteria
Description: partial 16S ribosomal RNA
Rfam family: Bacterial small subunit ribosomal RNA
Source: RNAcentral